UCCGUAGGUGAACCUGCGGAGGGAUCAUUACUGAGUGAGGGCUACGGUCCGACCUCCAACCCUUUGUGAACCAAACUUGUUGCUUCGGGGGCGACCCUGCCGCUUCGGCGGUGCGGCGCCCCCGGAGGCCAUUAAACACUGCAUCAUUGCGUCGGAGUAAAAGUAAAUUAAACAAAACUUUCAACAACGGAUCUCUUGGUUCCAGCAUCGAUGAAGAACGCAGCGAAAUGCGAUAAGUAAUGUGAAUUGCAGAAUUCAGUGAAUCAUCGAAUCUUUGAACGCACAUUGCGCCCUCUGGUAUUCCGGGGGGCAUGCCUGUUCGAGCGUCAUUUCACCACUCAAGCCUGGCUUGGUAUUGGGCGUCGCGGCUCCGCGCGCCUUAAAGUCUUCCGGCUGAGCUGUCCGUCUCUAAGCGUUGUGGCAACUAUUCGCUUCGGAGGUCGGGUGGCCGCGGCCGUUAAAUCUUUCACAAGGUUGACCUCGGAUCAGGUAGGGAUACCCGCUGAACUUAAGCAUAUCAAUAAGCGGAGGA
This 532-nucleotide ribosomal RNA is filed under the name Pallidocercospora heimii. RNAcentral describes it as "eukaryotic LSU rRNA". The stretch from base 176 to 329 matches the Rfam family "5.8S ribosomal RNA". Lineage: Eukaryota; Fungi; Ascomycota; Dothideomycetes; Mycosphaerellales; Mycosphaerellaceae. The record is from RNAcentral.